AUGUGAGAUUCCAAAGAACCCAGCAGCUUAGAAGUGCUCUUCAUUCCUUCCCUUGAACUCCGAUAGGUCCUCAGAGAUCUUGUUUCAGCUUCUGCAGAGAGCAUUUAAAAGGAAGCUCUGAUACCAGAGACUGGAUGGAAUGGUGUCCUCUGGACCUUUCUUAUGUUAUUCAGGAUGCAAGCUCAGCGCUCAUUGACUUGAUUUUAUUUGGACUGUAUUGUACCUGCAGUAAGAAUGCUUUAGUGGAACAUUUAUCCCUUUGCUGCCACUGUAGGAGCAGUCAACCCAGAUAGAGCCUUUGAAUGAAGAUUGAUUCUAAGCAUGGGAUUUCUUCCAGAAUCAAUUUAUCUAUGAGAAUGCCAAGAAAUUCAAUACAAAUGAAAGAGCAAAUUAUGUUUUUUCAGUUUCUAAACAAACAUUUAAUAUACCAUUAAUUUUGUGCUUGUGUUUUUGUUAUUUUUUUUCCAGGACAGAUUUCUCUCAUGUGGGUCCUCCUCCUCUCUUCUUAACUGCAUUUAAUGUGCCUGAAGGGAAAACAUCCUGAACAUUGCACUAAGAUUAAAAAUACUCUGUAAGCAAUAACAGUUAUAUUUAGUGCUGGUGAAAGGUGCUGGAUUC
This is a long non-coding RNA of Trachemys scripta elegans, 618 nucleotides long. RefSeq lists it as uncharacterized. The transcript has 3 exons. NCBI's taxonomy places the organism in Eukaryota, Metazoa, Chordata, Testudines, Emydidae. The record is from RefSeq and is a predicted model, not a curated record.